CUCCAGCCUGUUCUCCCCGACCAGGAGCUCGACUCUGCAGAUGCGCUGUUUUUAAGGUCUCUGUGCUUUCUCUUAAUGGAAAAAAAAAAAAAGUGUCUGGUCAAACUUGCUGUUGUCGGUCAGACUGCAUUAACCCAGUAACCUACACCUUUCAAUGUUACUCACUCGUCCCAUACCCCCACUCAUCUCCUCGCUUCACUUUGACAGUAGAUGUUUUCAUUCUUUCCGACCAGGUUAUCGCAGUUCCCAUAGGACGCUGACACCACAACACACAAAGGCACACAUUCAGGCACAAGACAGUCACAUUCCAGCAGAUGUAUCACUGAAACACAAACAGGAACGUGUGCACACACACUCUGCAGCACAUUCCAUCGACAACAUUGCAGCUUUGCUCACAUGUUGCGAUGGCCUCUGCCUCUCUGGGUCAGAGAGCUGUGGUGAGUGACCACCUUUUGAGUCGCCCGCCCUGUUUGUUUUCCAAAGACAGUGCCAUCAAUUCUCUAACAAGUGACUAGACACAGCAACAACAGAGAGCACAGGACCUCCCUGUUUCUGCCUGUGUAGUCCACUGACUGAUGGAGCAUGCAUGCAAUAAUAGACAUCAGUGCUGUGUGCGUCUUGAAUGCAUUCCAGCAAGUGUAUGUGUGUGUAAGCCUGUGCAUGUUUUUGUAUGCAUGCCUUUAUGUGCUCCAUUUAAUAUCAUCAAAUGAUGUUGAUGUUUUUCUUGCAGUAAUGAUCUGAAGAUUGUGCCUGCAAACAUGUACCUUUUGCUUUUUAUGCUGGUAUGAAAGCAUCAC
Long non-coding RNA from Sphaeramia orbicularis (orbiculate cardinalfish), 797 nucleotides. RefSeq lists it as uncharacterized. The record is from RefSeq and is a predicted model, not a curated record. NCBI's taxonomy places the organism in Eukaryota, Metazoa, Chordata, Actinopteri, Kurtiformes, Apogonidae. The transcript is spliced from 3 exons.